AUCGAACGCUGGCGGCAGGCCUAACACAUGCAAGUCGAGCGGAUGAAGGGAGCUUGCUCCUGGAUUCAGCGGCGGACGGGUGAGUAAUGCCUAGGAAUCUGCCUGGUAGUGGGGGAUAACGUCCGGAAACGGGCGCUAAUACCGCAUACGUCCUGAGGGAGAAAGUGGGGGAUCUUCGGACCUCACGCUAUCAGAUGAGCCUAGGUCGGAUUAGCUAGUUGGUGGGGUAAAGGCCUACCAAGGCGACGAUCCGUAACUGGUCUGAGAGGCUGAUCAGUCACACUGGAACUGAGACCCGGUCAAGACUCCUACGGGAGGCAGCAGUGGGGAAUAUUGGACAAUGGGCGAAAUCCUGAUCCAGCCAUGCCGCGUGUGUGAGGAAGGUCUUCGGAUUGUAAAGCACUUUAAGUUGGGAGGAAGGGCAGUAAGUUAAUACCUUGCUGUUGUGACGGUACCAACAGAAUAAGCACCGGCUAACUACGUG
Molecule: ribosomal RNA, 484 nt
Filed under: uncultured bacterium
Lineage: Bacteria
Description: partial 16S ribosomal RNA
Rfam family: Bacterial small subunit ribosomal RNA
Source: RNAcentral